GAUGAACGCUGGCGGCGUGCCUAAUACAUGCAAGUCGAGCGAACAGAUAAGGAGCUUGCUCCUUUGACGUUAGCGGCGGACGGGUGAGUAACACGUGGAUAACCUACCUAUAAGACUGGGAUAACUUCGGGAAACCGGAGCUAAUACCGGAUAACAUAUUGAACCGCAUGGUUCAAUAGUGAAAGGCGGCUUUGCUGUCACUUAUAGAUGGAUCCGCGCCGUAUUAGCUAGUUGGUAAGGUAACGGCUUACCAAGGCAACGAUACGUAGCCGACCUGAGAGGGUGAUCGGCCACACUGGAACUGAGACACGGUCCAGACUCCUACGGGAGGCAGCAGUAGGGAAUCUUCCGCAAUGGGCGAAAGCCUGACGGAGCAACGCCGCGUGAGUGAUGUAGGUCUUCGGAUCGUAAAACUCUGUUAUCAGGGAAGAACAAAUGUGUAAGUAACUGUGCACAUCUUGACGGUACCUGAUCAGAAAGCCACGGCUAACUACGUGCCAGCAGCCGCGGUAAUACGUAGGUGGCAAGCGUUAUCCGGAAUUAUUGGGCGUAAAGCGCGCGUAGGCCGGUUUUUUAAGUCUGAUGUGAAAGCCCACGGCUCAACCGUGGAGGGUCAUUGGAAACUGGAAAACUUGAGUGCAGAAGAGGAAAGUGGAAUUCCAUGUGUAGCGGUGAAAUGCGCAGAGAUAUGGAGGAACACCAGUGGCGAAGGCGACUUUCUGGUCUGUAACUGACGCUGAUGUGCGAAAGCGUGGGGAUCAAACAGGAUUAGAUACCCUGGUAGUCCACGCCGUAAACGAUGAGUGCUAAGUGUUAGGGGGUUUCCGCCCCUUAGUGCUGCAGCUAACGCAUUAAGCACUCCGCCUGGGGAGUACGACCGCAAGGUUGAAACUCAAAGGAAUUGACGGGGACCCGCACAAGCGGUGGAGCAUGUGGUUUAAUUCGAAGCAACGCGAAGAACCUUACCAAAUCUUGACAUCCUUUGACCACUCUAGAGAUAGAGUUUUCCCCUUCGGGGGACAAAGUGACAGGUGGUGCAUGGUUGUCGUCAGCUCGUGUCGUGAGAUGUUGGGUUAAGUCCCGCAACGAGCGCAACCCUUAAGCUUAGUUGCCAUCAUUAAGUUGGGCACUCUAAGUUGACUGCCGGUGACAAACCGGAGGAAGGUGGGGAUGACGUCAAAUCAUCAUGCCCCUUAUGAUUUGGGCUACACACGUGCUACAAUGGACAAUACAAAGGGCAGCUAAACCGCGAGGUCAAGCAAAUCCCAUAAAGUUGUUCUCAGUUCGGAUUGUAGUCUGCAACUCGACUACAUGAAGCUGGAAUCGCUAGUAAUCGUAGAUCAGCAUGCUACGGUGAAUACGUUCCCGGGUCU
RNAcentral lists this ribosomal RNA (1373 nucleotides) under uncultured bacterium. RNAcentral's name for it is "bacterial SSU rRNA". It matches the Rfam family "Bacterial small subunit ribosomal RNA", at positions 28 to 1381 of the family's 1533-position model. The record is from RNAcentral.